RNAcentral lists this long non-coding RNA (680 nucleotides) under Theobroma cacao (cacao). RNAcentral describes it as "long non-coding RNA (TCAC_LNC005845)". The record is from RNAcentral. Lineage: Eukaryota; Viridiplantae; Streptophyta; Magnoliopsida; Malvales; Malvaceae.
UCUCUAAAAUCUAAAUUAAUAGCAAUAAGGCAUAUCUUUUUUUUUUUUUGAAAGAUGAGUUUUUAUUAUAGAUAAACUGUAAUGCCAUGGGGAGUCUCAAACAUGGAGACUCCUGUUAGCAUAAAGCUAUCUUGAGAAGAGCUUGUUCUGUACAAUUACAAAAGUAGCAGCUGCUCAAGGAGCACUUGGCAGCAUCUUAACACGUAUAAUCUCAAAAAACAAGCAGAGUUCUGAAUAAAACCCCUACACAAAAGUCUAAUACUAGUAAAACUCAACCAGAGUGAAAAAAGUGAGUAGCCUAUGUGGCCCAGACCGACAACCUCCCUAAUCGAACAAAUGAAUCAUUCCAGUCAAAACCCCCACGAGUCUUCAAAGGUAGGCAGACAGGGAUAAUGCCAAGAAGCCUCCAAAAGCAAUCAUCCCUCUAUUGUUAUAAGGCAUACCUAUUGUUAUAAGUUGGACAAAACUCAUUCACAAACCAAUCUGGGUUUCAGCAGAAAAAGAAAUAAUCCAUCGUAACUCAUGGACUGAAAACACAUACUUAUUCCUUAAGGUCAGGUUUUACAUGACAAAUUCAUGCCUUUGAAAGACAGUUAUUGUAACACUUGAUUGACACAUGGCUCAGUAAACACGCAAUAUAACAGACAAUACAUGGCACUUAUAUCUACAAUAUAACAUAC